AACGCUAGCUACAGGCUUAACACAUGCAAGUCGAGGGGCAGCAUUUUAGUUUGCUUGCAAACUGAAGAUGGCGACCGGCGCACGGGUGAGUAACACGUAUCCAACCUGCCGAUAACUCCGGAAUAGCCUUUCGAAAGAAAGAUUAAUACCGGAUAGCAUACGAAUAUCGCAUGAUAUUUUUAUUAAAGAAUUUCGGUUAUCGAUGGGGAUGCGUUCCAUUAGUUUGUUGGCGGGGUAACGGCCCACCAAGACUACGAUGGGUAGGGGUUCUGAGAGGAAGGUCCCCCACAUUGGAACUGAGACACGGUCCAAACUCCUACGGGAGGCAGCAGUGAGGAAUAUUGGUCAAUGGGCGAGAGCCUGAACCAGCCAAGUAGCGUGAAGGAUGAAGGCUCUAUGGGUCGUAAACUUCUUUUAUAUGGGAAUAAAGUUUUCCACGUGUGGAAUUUUGUAUGUACCAUAUGAAUAAGGAUCGGCUAACUCCGUGCCAGCAGCCGCGGUAAUACGGAGGAUCCGAGCGUUAUCCGGAUUUAUUGGGUUUAAGGGGAGCGUAGGUGGAUUGUUAAGUCAGUUGUGAAAGUUUGUGGCUCAACCGUAAAAUUGCAGUUGAAACUGGCAGUCUUGAGUACAGUAGAGGUGGGCGGAAUUCGUGGUGUAGCGGUGAAAUGCUUAGAUAUCACGAAGAACUCCGAUUG
Molecule: ribosomal RNA, 695 nt
Filed under: uncultured bacterium
Lineage: Bacteria
Description: bacterial SSU rRNA
Rfam family: Bacterial small subunit ribosomal RNA
Source: RNAcentral